AGAGUUUGAUCAUGGCUCAGGAUGAACGCUGGCGGCGUGCCUUAAGCAUGCAAGUCGAACGGGAUUUUGGAGUCGCAAGAUUUUGAUAUUCAGUGGCGGACGGGUGAGUAUAAGUAAGGAACGUACCCUAAAGUAUCGCAUAGCUCGUCGAAAGACGGGGUAAUUCGGUAUGUGAUCGCAAGAUUAAAGAGGUUAACCCCUCGCUUUAGGAGCGGCCUUAUGUCUAUCAGCUAGUUGGUGGGGUAAAAGCCUACCAAGGCUACGACGGAUAGGGGGUGUGAGAGCACGACCCCCCACAAUGGCACUGAGACACGGGCCAUACAUCUACGGAUGGCAGCAACUGGGAAUAUUCGGCAAUGGACGAAAGUCUGACCGAGCGACGCCGCGUGAGGGAUGAAGGUUUUCGGAUCGUAAACCUCUUUUGCCAAGUCGUCGAGGCUUGGAGAAUAAGCACCUACAAACUACGUGCCAGCAGUCGCGGUAAUACGUAGGGUGCAAGCGUUAUCCGGAUUUACUGGGUGUAAAGUGUCGUGUAGGCGGUAUACCGCAUCGUGUCUGAAAGCCCGAGGCUUAACCUCGGCGUUGGACACGAGAUGGGUAAACUAUGAGGAAUGGAGAGGAAAGGGGAACUCAUGGUGAAGCAGUGAAAUGCGUUGAUAUCAUGAGGAACACCGAAGGCGAAGGCACCUUUCUGGCCAUUAACUGACGCUGAGACACGAAAGCUAGGGGAGCGAAGCAGAUUAGAGACCUGCGUAGUCCUAGCCCUAAACGCAUGUCUGCUAGAUGCCCUGCCGCAAGGUGGGGUGUCGUAAGCUAACGCGUUAAGCAGACCACCUGGGGACUACGAGCGCAAGCUUAAAACUCAAAGGAAUUGACGG
RNAcentral lists this ribosomal RNA (878 nucleotides) under uncultured bacterium. RNAcentral's name for it is "bacterial SSU rRNA". It matches the Rfam family "Bacterial small subunit ribosomal RNA", at positions 8 to 916 of the family's 1533-position model. The record is from RNAcentral.